GACGAACGCUGGCGGCGUGCUUAACACAUGCAAGUCGAACGGAAAGGCCCCUUUGGGGGUACUCGAGUGGCGAACGGGUGAGUAACACGUGAGUAACCUGCCCUUGACUUCGGGAUAACUUCAGGAAACUGGGGCUAAUACCGGAUAGGAAUCCUUGCUGCAUGGUGGGGGUUGGAAAGCUUCGGCGGUUUUGGAUGGACUCGCGGCUUAUCAGCUUGUUGGUGGGGUAGUGGCUUACCAAGGCUUUGACGGGUAGCCGCCUGAGAGGGCGACCGGCCACAUUGGGACUGAGAUACGGCCCAGACUCCUACGGGAGGCAGCAGUGGGGAAUAUUGCACAAUGGGCGGAAGCCUGAUGCAGCAACGCCGCGUGCGGGAUGACGGCCUUCGGGUUGUAAACCGCUUUCAGCAGGGGCGAAGCUUGUGGUGACGGUACCUGCAGAAGAAGCACCGGCUAACUACGUG
This 464-nucleotide ribosomal RNA is filed under the name uncultured bacterium. Its description in RNAcentral is "partial 16S ribosomal RNA". It matches the Rfam family "Bacterial small subunit ribosomal RNA", at positions 28 to 507 of the family's 1533-position model. The record is from RNAcentral.